AUUUCUCAAUGGCCACAAGAUCCCACCACGCUCCCUAGCCCAUUGCCAUCUAAUCUAGCUUCCUCCUGUUCCUCCCUUCCCAUCUCUGCACCUCAUCCUUCCUUCCUUGAUAGACUCUGGGAAGCCAGAUUCUCCUCUGCUGUGCUGAGCAAUUCCAGUCUUCCCAGUGCCCUUUCCCUAAAUUCCUCCCCAGGACCACCUUUUUUUUUUUUUUGAGAUGACGUCUCGCUCUGUUGCCCAAGCUGGAGUGCUCUCAGCUCACUGCAACCUCCGCCUGCCGGGUUCAAGUGAUUCUCCUGCCUCAGCCUCCUGACCUCACAUGGCACAGCUAAGGCGAUUGCUUCUCAUGAAUGCCAAGAGAUGACUUGUCUUCAGCCUACCCACCCACCUGACUCAGCACCUCUACUGGCAAGCUCACUGCCCUGAACAGCGCAUCCACACACAGGUUGGACCAGAGAUCCUGAUGUAUCUUACUUCAGUUCCCAAAGCUGCCACACAUUAAAGUUCAUACUGAGAAGGCAUCCACCAAUUGUAAACAAUGUUCAAGAAAUCUGUUCUGAUGACUGUUUGUGCUACUUUCCCUCCCUGCAACCAACCUGGAUUCCCAAGGCUGCUCCUCAUGCCUCUCAACCCUGGUCUUGAAAACCUCCCUUCUCCUCCACGAUUCCAGGAGCUCUGCCUGGACAGCCUUUUAAGGGUUGAAGGCUCCACAUG
Molecule: long non-coding RNA, 714 nt
Filed under: Homo sapiens (human)
Lineage: Eukaryota; Metazoa; Chordata; Mammalia; Primates; Hominidae
Description: HSALNT0294561
Source: RNAcentral